AGAUGAACAUCAGGAAGGAACAUUAGGAACAUCCACAGUGUUCCAUCCAGGAACCUUCACCGUGGAAACCCUUGUGCUCAUGGGUGUGGUCUCAAGACACAGUCAGCUGUUGGGGAUCAGAGGCCACACUCAUCGUAGCAGAGAGGCAGGACCAACUGGGAGAGGGUCCUUCUGUGACACCUACUGCAUCACCGGGCUGUGUGAAGUGACUCAGCUGCCAGAACUCACACAAUAUCAUUCUACACCAAAACCUCACGGGAAAAAUGCUCCACGACCCUCAGGCUUAAACAGCAGUACUGGCCCCUCCCCAGAUCUCCAGCUCCCUGACCCUCAAACUCCAACUGCAGCACCAGCUCCGCCCCGGGUCUCCAGCUCCACAAUCCUCAAACUACAACAGCAGCACCAGCUCCCCUGUGGAACUCCAGCUCAAUGACUCUCAGACUUGGGAGGUGGCACCGGCUCCCCACCAAGCCUCCAGCUCCACAACCUUCAAACUAGAACAGCAGCACCGGCUACCCUCUGGGUCUCCAGCUCCCUCAAAAUUCAACUAUAGCACUGGCUCUCCCCUGAGCCAUCAGCUCCACAACCCUCAACUUACACAGUGGUAGCACCAGCUCCUCCCUAGGUCUCCAGCUACACGACCGUCAAACUUGAACUGCAACACCAGCUCCUCUUCGGCCUCCAGCUCCACAAUCCUCCAACAACAACAGCAACACCGGCUCCUCCCUGAAUCUCCAGCUCAACAACCCUCAGACUUGAGAGGUAGCACCGACACCUUCCCCAAGGCUCCAGCUCCAUGACCCUCAGAUUUGAACAGCGGUAGCACCAGCUCCUGUCCAGGUCUCCAGCUUCACGAUCCUUAAACUAGAACAGCAGCACCGCCGCCUCCCUGGGUUUCCAGCUCCAUGACCCUAAGACAUGAAUGAAAGAACCGGGUCACCCCAGGGCGCCAACUCCAAGACCCACAGAUUUGAACGGCAGCACUGGCUCUUCCGGCCAUCUCCAGCUCCACAGCCUUCAAACUAGAUCAGCAGCACCGGCUCCUCCCUGGGUCUCCAGCUACACAAUCCUCAGACAUGAACAAUAGCACCGGCUCCUCCUUGGGUCUCCAGCUUCACUACCCUCAGACUAGAACAGCAACACCGGUUCCUCCCUGGGUCUCCAGCUCUACAAUCCUCAGACAUAAACAGCAGCAGCACUGGCUCCUACCCUUGUCUCCACUUCCACGACCCUCAAACUACAACAGCAGUACCGGCCUCUCCCCAGGUCUCCAGAUCCAUGACCCUCAAAAUAGAAUGGCAUCAUCGGAUCCCUCCUGGGUCUCCAGCUCCCAAACCCUCAAACUUCAAUUGACACACCGGAUCCUCCCCACAGUUAAACAGCAGCACAGGCUGUUCCCAAAAGCUCCAGAUCCAUGAUCCUCUGACUUAAAUGGCGGUAGCACCGGCUCCUCUCCAGGUCUCCAGUUCCACAACCCUCAAACUACACAGCAGCACCGGCUCCUCCCCAGGUCCACAGCUCCACCACCCUCAUACUAGACACCAAGACUACCUCCUCCCCGCUCUCCAGCUACAUGACCCUCAGUCUUGAACAGCAGCAGCUCCUCUCUGUACCUCAAGCCCCAUGACCCUCAGACUUGAACAAGAACAACACCAUCUCCCCUCAGGGCUCCAGCUCGGGGACCCACAAAUUUAAACAGCAGCACCGGCUCUUCCUGUGAUCUCCAGCUCCACUAACCUCAAACUAGAAUAGCAGCACCGGCUCCUCCUUGGGUCUCCAGCUUCACUACCGUCAGGCUAGAACAGCAACACCGGUUCCUCCCUGGGUCUCCAGCUCAAUGACUCUCAGAUUUGAAAGGCAGCACCGGCUCCUCACAAAGUUUCUGGCUCCAAGGCCCUCAAACUAGAAUAGCAACACCGGUUCCUCCCUGGGUCUCCAGCUCAAUGACUCUCAGAUUUGAAAGGCAGCACCGGCUCCUCAC
This 1981-nucleotide long non-coding RNA is filed under the name Pan troglodytes (chimpanzee). Its description in RNAcentral is "long non-coding RNA NONPTRT008973". Lineage: Eukaryota; Metazoa; Chordata; Mammalia; Primates; Hominidae. The record is from RNAcentral.